CCCGUGGUGUUGUGUCGGGAGAUGCAGUAACUGAACCAGUGCACUGAAGACAAGGCAGCAUGCUGUGGUCAUCACUCACAGGAGGACGAAAAGAAGGUGGAGAGCAACAGAAAAAAUAACUUAAUGACAAUAGAUUAAAUACCUUUUAAUCCACCA
This is a long non-coding RNA of Micropterus dolomieu (smallmouth bass), 156 nucleotides long. RefSeq lists it as uncharacterized. Lineage: Eukaryota; Metazoa; Chordata; Actinopteri; Centrarchiformes; Centrarchidae. The transcript has 2 exons. The record is from RefSeq and is a predicted model, not a curated record.